AAACAUGAUAGUGCUCACAAUAAAGCUAGACAACAAUAUGUGGCAUUCAAAAAUCAAAGGCAAUCCAUGGUAAAUGUGCUCGAUCGUGGCACCAAAAAGAGCGAGGAAGAAUAUAGAGCUCGUCUUGUCAUUAUUUUGGGUGUUAUCAGAUUUCUUCUAUUACAAGCUCUUGCUUUUCGUGGUCAUGAUGAGAGCUCGAGCUCAAAGAAUAGGGGGAAUUUUUUGGAGAUGAUGAGUUGGUACAGGGAGAAGGAUUCAAAUGCUAAGACUUUGCUUGAUAGUGCGGGCGGGAACCAUUUGAUGACUUCACAUGGGAUACAAUUGCAACUGUGUCAAGCUUAUGCAGAAGAGACCACCAAAGCAACUAUUGAUGAUAUUGGAGAUAGAAAUUUUUCUUUACUUGUUGAUGAGUCCAGAGAUGCAUCAAUAAAGGAGCAAAUGGCUAUGGUUUUAAGGUAUGUUGAUAAACAUGGGUAUGCGAUUGAGAGGUUCAUUGGGAUUAAGCAUGUUGGUGACACAAGGGCAGCUUCUCUGAAAGCAGCUUUGGAUGGUAUGUUUCUUGAACAUGGCUUGUCUAUGUCUAAAUUGAGAGGGCAAGGGUACGAUGGAGCUUCUAACAUGAGAGGACAAUUUCGUGGGUUGCAAAGGUUGAUACUAGAUGAAAAUCCUGAUGCAUUUUAUAUUCAUUGCUUUGCCCAUCAGUUGCAGUUAGUGGUUGUUGCAAUUGCCAAGUAUUGUUCCUCUGUAUUGGAUUUCUUUAACCACAUAACUUUGAUUGUCAACACCGUCAAUGCUUCUCGUAAGAGACAUGAUGAACUAGCCCAAGAACAACAUGAUAAUAUUGUGAGUCAAUUGGAGUCUGGGGAAAUUUUUUCUGGAAGAGGGAAAAACCAAGCAACCAACCUUGUAAGACCUGGGGAUACACGGUGGGGCACACAUCAUAAAACUUUGUGUCGGUUUAUUGAGAUGUGGACAUCUGUUUUGCAUGUAUUAGAGAACAUC
This 1002-nucleotide ribosomal RNA is filed under the name Triticum aestivum (bread wheat). RNAcentral describes it as "partial small subunit ribosomal RNA". Lineage: Eukaryota; Viridiplantae; Streptophyta; Magnoliopsida; Poales; Poaceae. The record is from RNAcentral.